Molecule: transfer RNA, 43 nt
Filed under: Draco biaro
Lineage: Eukaryota; Metazoa; Chordata; Lepidosauria; Squamata; Agamidae
Description: partial tRNA-Ala
Source: RNAcentral
UAAAACCUGCAAGACUCCACUCACAUCAACCGAAUGCAACUCA